RNAcentral lists this long non-coding RNA (229 nucleotides) under Lonchura striata (white-rumped munia). RNAcentral's name for it is "domestica (Bengalese finch) lncRNA (ENSLSDG00000016792.1)". Lineage: Eukaryota; Metazoa; Chordata; Aves; Passeriformes; Estrildidae. The record is from RNAcentral.
GACUCACAGCACACACCUGCGAGCAGAGUUUUGCUAUUUCACACCCCAGAUUUCCUUCAUGUAUCAGUGAUUAUACUAAACUUUUCCUCACAGCCAAGAUGUGGAAUAUGCUUUAAUCUCAUUUACUGGAUUGCUUCGCCUGAGUGUGGUGGGGUUUUUUUUUUCAUUUUAUUGUUUGUUUGCUUUUUUUGCUGAAGCGAUGGGGCUCGAGGCGGGGAGCUCAGCACCA